GAUGUGCCCAGAUGGGAUUAGCUAGUAGGUGGGGUAACGGCUCACCUAGGCGACGAUCCCUAGCUGGUCUGAGAGGAUGACCAGCCACACUGGAACUGAGACACGGUCCAGACUCCUACGGGAGGCAGCAGUGGGGAAUAUUGCACAAUGGGCGCAAGCCUGAUGCAGCCAUGCCGCGUGUGUGAAGAAGGCCUUCGGGUUGUAAAGCACUUUCAGCGGGGAGGAAGGCG
This 230-nucleotide ribosomal RNA is filed under the name Klebsiella pneumoniae. RNAcentral's name for it is "partial 16S ribosomal RNA". It matches the Rfam family "Bacterial small subunit ribosomal RNA", at positions 224 to 453 of the family's 1533-position model. Lineage: Bacteria; Pseudomonadati; Pseudomonadota; Gammaproteobacteria; Enterobacterales; Enterobacteriaceae. The record is from RNAcentral.